UUGUCAACUCGUUGAGCUUGUUUGUCGAUUAUAUGCAUGUGCAUGAAGUGUGUUUUAUAUCCAUGGAUGGUUCAUGGUACAUCCUAGCAAAUAGAUCUUAUGUGGCUAUCAGAUUUUGGGUGAGAUUGUUCUCUGUUUCUGUGCCUUAACUGUUUAGCAAAAUACUGUUUCCCAUACUAAUAUGAAGUUCAAAUGGAUUUUUCAGGUGGAGGAGAAAGUGAAGCAUGCUGUGUGCCCUCUUCCGAAGCAUGUAAUACACCGUAUCCAUGAACUGGCUGCCAUUCAUCCAUAUCCAAGGAAGAGAAUCUCAAAAUUUUCAUAUACCAGCCAAGUUACCUCACCAACACUGCCCCUCAUCCCCAAGGGUUAUCCUCUUAGUCUUCAUGGCAGAAAUGUGCGGAGGAAGAACCUGUAAAUGAAAAGCAGUUGCCAUGGGCUGUGCAUAUACAUGUUAGCAGAUCAGUUGAAGGAUCUGGACGCAGAAGGUUGUGAGUGUUUACGAGUGGGUCUAAAUUCCCAAUUUUAAUAGCUGGAUAUUUGGCUAUUGAUGUUGAAAUUAGAAAAGCUUUUUAACUUUCAGGCCUUUUUUCUCCCUGGAGCAUGGCUGCAAAUUUUGUUUCUUCAGUUUUUCCAGUAUGCCCUGCCUGAGAGGCACUCAACGUUUCUAUGUCAGAUCGAAUUGUUGUCUAGAAUGAGUGAUAAACCAUGGAGCCAAAGGUUCUGUGAAGCAUUGUGUCAUUUCCGUAGUUACCAUGAUAUUUUGGUGCGCAAUCCAAUAUUAUUUGGUGCUUUUCCGAAGAAAAGAAAACUAUUUUUUUUUUUU
This is a non-coding RNA of Carica papaya (papaya), 823 nucleotides long. NCBI's taxonomy places the organism in Eukaryota, Viridiplantae, Streptophyta, Magnoliopsida, Brassicales, Caricaceae. The record is from RefSeq and is a predicted model, not a curated record.